GAGGGUAUAGUUCAGUGGUAAAACAUGUGCUUAGCACGCACAAGGUCCUGUGUUCAGUUCCCAGUACCUCCA
This 72-nucleotide transfer RNA is filed under the name Camelus bactrianus (Bactrian camel). It matches the Rfam family "tRNA". From Rfam's summary of the family: Transfer RNA (tRNA) molecules are approximately 80 nucleotides in length. The record is from Rfam by way of RNAcentral. RNAcentral also lists the same sequence under 2 other names. Lineage: Eukaryota; Metazoa; Chordata; Mammalia; Artiodactyla; Camelidae.